Globicephala melas (long-finned pilot whale) is the source of this 7990-nucleotide long non-coding RNA. RefSeq lists it as uncharacterized. NCBI's taxonomy places the organism in Eukaryota, Metazoa, Chordata, Mammalia, Artiodactyla, Delphinidae. The record is from RefSeq and is a predicted model, not a curated record.
ACCUAACUCCCUUUGCAUUUCUGCAGAGGGCACUUGGGACUAUUUUAAUUGGACUCCUGUCCCUUCUGUUAGUCUGGGAUCCCAUCCCCUCCUACUUGAUUUGCGUUUCCACAGAGGCUACAAGGGACUGUUAAUGUGCUUAUUAAAUGCAGGUACAAUCCCUUAUGUUAACCUAGGAUCCCAUUCCCACCUAUCUCCUUUUGCAUGACUGCAGAGGUAUUUGAGACCUUUAAAGUGGUUAGUGGCAGCUGUAGUCCCAUCUGUUAAGUGUACUUUCUCAAGCACUCCAAUUCCCUCACGUAACUUGGGAACAUAUUUCGGACUGUCACUGUGCUCGUUUUUGGCUGUGGUCCCUUUGUAAUUCUAGGAUCUCAUCCCUUUCUACUCAUUUGUAUUACUUGUUGGUAUUGGGACAGAAAGGUGCUUAAAUGCAGCUGUAAUCUGUUUUGUUAAUCUAGGAUUCCAUGCCCUCUUAACUCCCUUAACAUUACCUAGGAGUGUAUUUGGGACUGUUGAAGUGCUUAAUUGCAUCUGUGGUCCCUUCUGUUAGUCUCACUUCCCAUGCCCUCUUACUCCCUUUGCGUUACAGCAGAGGGCACUUGGGACUAUUAAAGUGUUUAAUUGCAGCUGUGGUCCCUUCUCAGUCUGGGGUCCAUCCCCUCCAGCUUUGUUUGCAUUACCACAGAAGGUACUUGGAUCUGUGAAUGUGUUUAAAUGCAGAUAUGGUCCCUUUUGUUAGUUUUGGAUCCCAUGACCCCCUUUACAUUACCUGGGAGGGCAUUUGGGACUGUCAUGAUGGUAAUUGCACCUGUGUUCCCUUCUGUUGGUCUAGAAUCCCGUUACCUCCUACUCCCUUUGCAUUACAUGGGAGCGUUUUUGGGACUCUUAAGAUGCUUAACUGCAACUAUGGUCCUUUCUGUCAGUCUAGUUUCCAGUCCCUUUCUACUCCAGUACCCUUACCACAGAGGGUACUUGGGACUGUUGUGGUGCAUCCCAUCCUCUCACACCCUGUCAGCAUUACAGCAUAGGGUCCUGAACACCAAGGCCCCUUCUUUUCACUGUUAAUGCACAAUUGCAUUUGUCCUUCUUCCUCUGCAGUAUAUAAAGACCUCACUAACUUCCCUUGUAUUCAGUGGUGGAUGCCCUUUACUCAAGACCUUUGUACUAGAAUAAAGUGAACCAUGGUAAUUGACCACAAAUAUAUCUUUCACUUAAGUCCCUUGUACUCUCUUUGUUUUAAAAGAAGAUGUAUUAAUUACCUCCGUUACUUUUUCUGGGAGUAUUUACAUGCAAAAUUCCAGUGUUCAAGGCCCCUGUCUUUAAUAUCCCUCCCUUUCUGUAUUAUAUCAGGGGAUGUUAGUGACUCAGAGUCCUUCUCUUUGGACUCAUUGUGCAUGUGCCCUCGUGACAAGCUAAUAUCUGGAGUUCUUAGUAUUAUAGGAGGGACUACUGACUAGUUUCUCUUUUGGACAGUUAAUGUGCAAAAUUACACUAGGAUCCCAUCACAUUUCACCUCCUUUGCAUCAGGGGUCCUGAUCAACUGUGGCUGCUUUUCCUCUAGAGUUUAAACGUGCAUAAUUUCAGUAACCCAUGCUCCCUUAUGUUAGAUUAGGAUCCCAUUUCCUUGCCCCAUUUACGUUACUGCGGGGGCUUCUGACUAGCCAAGAUAAGUUUUCUUGGACUGUUAAUGUGUAUACUUACAUUUGCUCCUGUACCUGUACACCAGGUAAGGACCCUCCCCAUUCUAUUUAUAUUCCAACAGGAGGUGCCUACUACUCAAGAUCUUACACACUACUGCAGUUAAUGUGCACAAUCUUAGUUGUCUUGUAUACAUUCUCAGUUGUCCACAACUGUGCUUUUUAGAUCAGGACUCCACUUAUUGAAGCACAGGUUACUUACUACCUUAAAGCCCUUGUUUUGGGACUGUGACUAUGUGUAAUUAAAAUUGUCCAUGGUCCUUUGAGUUAACUUGUGUCCCUGACUCUUUUCACACUCCCUUUGCUUUACUGCAUGGGGUACUGUCCACUUAAGGCCCCUUUCUCAAAUACGUGUAAUGACAAUUACAUUAGGAUCCUUCCCCUUCAAACCCCUUAGAAGUACCACAAAGAUUUUGACCCCUAAGUCCCAUUUCUUGUCCUGUUAUUGUAUUUGUCUGGGUUCCUGUGCACUAGACAAGGACACCUCUCCAUUCCCUGUCCUUCCAGCAGGAAGUGCCCCCUCCACAGGACUGUUAAAUUUGGACAGUCAAGGUGCACAAUUGUAACUGACCACAACCAGUCACCUUGGACAUUAAUGUGCAUAACUGCACAUGGCUCAUCCCAUAUGGAUAAGAUCCUAUCCUCUCAGACCCCUUUUGUAGUACAGCAGGGGUAAUGAUCACUAAGGCCUCUUUUUAUGGCUUGUUAUUGUGCAUAAUUGCAUUUGUGCAUGUUCCUGUACAGUUGAUGGGGGCACCUAUCUCCCCACUCCCUUUGUCUUUUAGCAGGGAGUGCCUGCUACUUUAAGAUCCUUAUAUUUGUACAAGGUAUACGAUUUUAAUUGACCACACCAUGUCCCUUCGACAUUAAUGUACAUAACUGCAACUUAGUUCAUCUUAUCCUGUUGCCCUCCAUUUGCAGUAUAUCAGGGUUGCUGACCCAUAUAUCCCCAUUCCUUGGCCUGUUAAUGUGCAUAAUUGCAUUUGGUUCUUGGGCAGUAGACAAGGAUCCCCUCCUCCCCCACAUUUCCUAUGCCUUCCAGUAGGUUGUGCCCACCACCAAGACCUUUCUAUUUGGACAGUUAAUGUGCAGAAUUGCAGUUUUUCACAACCCUGUUACUUCUAGGACUAUUUUAUCUCCUUUGUAAUACUGCAGGGGAUACUGUUUUCCCCCAAGGUCCCUUCUAGUGGACCGUUAAUAUACAUAAUUGAAAUUGUUGUCUUUAUCAGUAGACUAAUGUCAUAUCCCCUCAGCUAACUAUCAUGACCUCAGCUCUUGGACAAUUAAUAUGCACCAAUAACAUAUCAAAAGUACGAUCAUUAGAUAGGACCCCUGUACCCUCACUGUAUACAUCAGAGGUACUGACUAAGGCCCCUUUUUUGGACUGAUAAUGUGAAUAUUUGCAAUUAUCUAUUCUCUCUUCUUUUUAGAGUCGGAUAGCAUCCCUUUGCACCCCCUUUGCAUUACUGCAGGGGCUGCUAAUGACACAAAACUUCUACUGGGACUGCUGAUGAGCACAAUGGCAUUUAGCAAUGGGUUUUUCCUCCCUGGCUUUGUUAGGCAAGCAUUCCCAGCUCCAGCUUCCCAUGGCAUAAUAAAGUAUAAACACUGCAGUAUGCUGUGAACUUGUCCAUCAAACAACGACCCAUACUCCCACUCCUUUUGCAUUGGCUCCAGUGUAUCAAAUUCCAAGUAAUCAUAGUCUUGCCAUUAUCUUCCCUCUCCAGACCACUUGCCUGCCCUUGGACCCUUCUUAUGGAAUAUUAAUGCUCACAAUUUCAGGUGUCCAUGUACCCAGAUAAGAUUGUGCUCUCUUGCCCCUCCUGCUCCUGCCCUGCCCCUUUUGCAUAGUUGAUGGGAAAUGUUGACUGAGCAAAAUGCUUUUCUCUUGGACUUAAAACGUUAACAAUCUCAGAUGUCAUUGUUUUGCCCAUUUUGAAUUUCUGUAAUACCUUGGUUGCACUUUCUUUGGUCCGGCCCGUUAGACAUGGACCCUUCCACUUCCUUCUUUGCAUUACUUCUGAGUAGUGCUGACCUCCCACAACCCCUUCGGUGUUAUUAACACAGUAUUAAUUGUCCCAUUUUUUAGCCCAUCAGCCCAAGAUCUCCCUACCACUUUGAUGUUGUGUUUGUGCAGUAUUGACUACCAAAAGCAAGCCUGAACUAGGUGGCUGGGCCUUCACUCCUUUUCCUGCAUUUGUCAAUGAUCCCAGUUCCAAUUCUUUUCACAUUCUGGGGACAGGAACCAUUCCUACCCCCCUCUUACUGCUUUACUAGGCAAAAUGCCCAAGGCAAGUCAGACCCAAGGGAACUGGAUUGCUAUCCUUUAUUUGGGGUUUUCAUUAUACAUAAGUAUCAAUUGAAAAUUGUCUCCCCAGGAAGGAAGUUUAGCACUAUCUGUGCAUUCUUCCUUUCAAAGCAGAUUGCCUGGCUAAGACUCUCUCCUCUCUUCUUGUAUAUUGCCAUUGUAUAGUGUCAACUGCCAAGAUACAACCAAAAAGUUGCUGUUAAGUUUUUAUGUUGUAAGGAAGAUUGCAAGUUAGAAUUGAUAACCUGGUCAUUGAAAUUUUGAAGUCUAAAAACCUAUUUAUACCAUGUACCUGAUGACCAGUGUCUCUCAUUUUACUAAGGGUGGUGGGUCUGUGGAUAGACCACUGUGACUUUGAUAUUUUAGUAUGAUCAAAGGAGUUCUAGAGUGGAACUCUUAAGACCAGUAUCUUUGGGCUCUACCACCAUUUUCAAACCAUUCCUUGUUUGGGCUUUAACAAUUUUCACUUUUAGAAAAACUACCUAAACCUCCUAAUCCUUAAAUUUUUUCAUCUGGAGCUCCAACCAGCCCCUACUUAUUUCAAGAAGAUUGCUGUAAAAGGAUAAAAAUGAGAGAACAUAUGCAGAGGUGCUUUUGAAAACCAUAGAUCAAUUUAUUUGAUUAAUCUAUUACAUAAAAUGCCCCCUGUUUAAUUCUGCUAAUUUAAAGUAGCCUAAAGCACCACACUGAAGUGAGGACUUAGAAAUGAUGGAACCAGUUUCCCCAUUUUAUAUGAAAAGAAAAAUAAGCCAAGGUCUAAUCAUUCUUUCGGAUAUAAAUUUCAACAGUGAGGUAGCUGCCUGGUAAAAAUGAAUAGUGUUCCAGCUCUAGUGUACAGGGUGUUUGGUGGCAGAGAAGUAUUUAAUAUGGAACUGCUGGAGCAAAUAACUAGUUAUCACUACAGCAGUUCUUUGUAAUCACUGAGAAAGGAUACUCUUCUCUGAGAAGGAUGUCAAAAGAUUCGCCCAGCUCAGGGUGCUGUUUGCACUACUAGCUCCUUGGACAGCUGUAAGAAGUCUCUGGCUCUUUAGAAUACUGGAUGAAUUCUGAGCUGGUACCCCCACUCAAGAGGAAGGAUGGAUCGAUUUUAGGUGGAUUGAAGCCUGCCCUAGACAGCAUCCAAAGUCCUUCUGUGAUACUGCCAGUGCUUGCCAUUACAGGACCUUAAGGAGACAACAGGCUAGAGAGGAGAGACAGGAGACACCUAUAUCUAAUGCUUCAGGACAUUCUGAGCAUGUGAGACCUGAGGAACUGCAAGCAGCUUUAAGAAGCUCUACAUUCAACAAGUCUUUCCUUUUAAGAAUCUGGAUAAGCUCCAACCAAUCUAAGAGGAUGGCUUGCCGGCUCCCUGGAGAAAAAGAUCUUCCUCAGAAGAAUAGGCUUGUUGCUUUACAGUGUUAAUGACCCAUUCCCUUUGACGAUCCCUAGGUGGAGAUGGGGCAUGAGGAUCCUCCAAGGGAAAAACUCACUAUCACUGAGCAACAACCCUAGGCCAGGAGGUUCUACCAAGAUUCUUUCCUGGGCCCAGUUAGGAGGAUGAAAUCUCAAGACAACCACCACACAUCCAGAGGAGAACAUGGACAACAACUGCCACAUCUGUGACAUUGAUCAUGGGCAGAUCAUCAUUCUGGACCCUCUGGUCUCCAAAGUCUCCCUUGAGGCCCUGUUGGAGAACUUUGCCAAUCAUUUACGUACUUCAGGAUGCCUUGGGAUAGCUGUUGGACAAAAGAAAAAACAAGCUGUUUGAGAAGAUAAAACAGAGCUGUGUCUUUUUAUGCUGUGCCUGCUAAUUGACAGAAACUUCACAGCUAUGAGUGGGAAUGUGACUAGAAGUGGCACAAAGUUAUCUAUCGUCAGGCUGGAUCUAAAGAACUAGCACCCUGCGUAUUCUAGCUCCUGAUUGUUCCCUUCAUAUCUGUCCAAUCAUUAUCUUUCCCAGAAGCAGUGCAAAGAGCAAGACAUUUGAACACACCAAAGGAAGAUCAACAUGCCUGGCACUCUAGAAUUUUAGAAUAGCAGAAUGAAUGUGUCUUUGUUUGCUUAUCUAUUUCUUCCUUGAAUGUCUUUGGUCUUUCUCCUCUAACUAAAGUGUGUCUUACCCAUUUCCAUGAUUCUCUUACUAGUUUCUUCUCUGUAUAUCUUUGUCUCAUUUUCUUUCUUGUACCCAAGAGUGGUCUGUGUCUUGUCUUAGAUGUCUCUCUCUAGUGUUUUCAUUUUGUUACUGAUUCUCCUUGCUCUCCUAGAUCUGGCUCUUCUUUCACUGUUUGUCUCUUUGCGUCUCUUGAGUCACAUGCUGUGUGCUUUUUGCUCACUUCUUGCUAUGCCUACCUUCUUCUUUUUCUCUUUGUGAACUGUUUGUAACCCCCUCCCCUUGAUGGUUUGACAUUUCACCUUUUCUGAUACUGGCCACCCUUCUGCUGUUUCUACUCUUUAUCUUGCAUUGCUCUUUUCUACAUAGUCUUUCUGCCUCUCUUGGGCCAUUUUCUCUUUUCUUCCUGCUUUGUGUGCCCCAGUGUCUCUUUGUUCUUUGUGAUUUUCCAUGUCAGCAUUCAUCUCUGUGUUCUCUUAUUUCUUCUCUGCUUUUGCCUUUCUACUUACCUUUGAGUAUUUCAGUCUCUUCUUGAGUCUAUGUCUCCCCCACUUUGAUUUCAUGCAGUCCUCUCUCCUUGCAUACUUUUUGUGCAUGUGUGUGUGCAUGCUUUUGUGUGUGUGUGUGUUUGUAACAAAGGGGUCUCCUAACCCCUUCCUAAUAGGUGCAGAGUGUCAGCUAUCAAAAUAUAAGCAUUGAAGAGCUGUUCCUUAUGCCAGGCUGCCUGUGAGAUGAUCCAAGACCAAUAAAAGGCCCAAAGGUCUAGACUGGAGUUGGACGGAAGACUCAAGUCUCGGUGAGACAGAAGGCCAAAGACCCAGGAUGGGAUGAAAAGCCUUCGCUUGAAGACCUAUGACCCAAAAAUGGAAGGGCCCAAGCACACAUAAAGACCCAGAACUCAAGCCUGUCUAUAUAGACAGAAGGCCCAAGAGAGACAGAUAUCUCCAGACUAAAUUAGGCGGGAAGCUGGAGGCCCAUGACCCAGAAUCCAGGAAGGAUAGAAGCCCCAAGACCAAAGGAAAUUCCAAGAUGAGAACCCUAAACCGCAGCUCUUUUCUAUUGUUCUCCUCCCUACUCUUGGACAUUUUCAGUUCUCCCUUCCCUGUUCUCAUAUCUCCAUUUAAACCCACUUCUUUUGAGAUGUCAUUUUUGAUGUUGCUGCUACUUUAAAGAAACACACCUUUAGAUCAGUAAUAUUAUGCCUGGGCCAGUCUUAAGCCAGUUUUUAUCGCACUUUUAAGCCAUUUAUUAAGGUUUUGGUGUUUUGCAAAGUUCCAUUUCUCUUCACCUCCUCUCCACUUGAGAGGGACACAUAGGUGACUUUAUAUUUCAGUCCCUUCUUUCCUCAGAAGCUCUAGGCUGAUGAGAGAAGUAAAGCAUCAGGUUACUGAGUGGAAAAUAAGUGCCAGGCUAUCUAGAGAAAAUGUGAAGAGAUGCUCCAGGCCAAUGAGAAGAACUAGACAAGAAAUACACAGAUGUGCCAGCUUGCUGAGAAGCACCAGCCAGCAACAUAUUACUUCUUUGAGCUUGGUUUCUGGCAUCCCAAGACUACCACUACUGCUAAAAAAGAAUAAGAGAACAUGUUAUCAUCUGAUUUUUGUGGCAUAAAUGAAGUUGUGAAAAAAUCUUUUUUUACAAAGGAAAUGGCUUCAUCUUUAUCCUUCUACCUCAAAGGGAAUCUAUGCCAAAAUGCUCCGAUGAAUGGAAGGCACACUUGGACUUGUGAACUGAAGUGAAACGCAGAAUCUCUGAGCCAUGGUUGUUUUGAAGAUCGAAAAGUCUUGUUCAGCAUGGGUGACCAGCAAAAAAGCAAUCUAGAGCUGUCUGUAUGUCACAACUGAGACAAAUUGGGGAGUUUGUUGUUUAAUGCCAAAUAAAAAUGUACUGUUUUGAAAA